Molecule: transfer RNA, 67 nt
Filed under: Nesophrosyne sp. 246 GMB-2012
Lineage: Eukaryota; Metazoa; Arthropoda; Insecta; Hemiptera; Cicadellidae
Description: tRNA-His
Source: RNAcentral
AUUUAAGUAGUUUAUAUAUCAAAAAUAUAGGUUUGUGGUUCCUAGGAAGUUGUUUUAACCUUAGAUU